CUGAGGCUUCAGGCAGGCUCACUUGGGUCAGGGCUAGGGGAAGGGACUCCUACCUUCUAUUAAGUGCCUCUCUAGCAUUAAGAACCCUGUUAAGGGACCCAUAUACUAGCGAUUCAGCUCCAGAAAGGACCUUCAAGGCAGCAGAUGGCUUUGAAGCAGCAGCAUUGAACUGAGGCUGUUUUACAGUGGUGGACAAAGCAGAGAUGAAGUGGUUUGUGUUCAAGCAGUAGCGAGUAACUGCCUAUUUGAAGGACUCCAGAGUGGGUCUCCCUACUCAGCAAUCAAAGCUGAAAUCACUUCAGCUGGGUCAGGUGGUAGCACCAGGAGAGCAGCCCAGCCUACACUUUCCUUAGGGCUGGAGACUCAUCUGCCAGAACUCUUGGAUUCCACCAACCCAGGUGCAGCACAGACUGUAGCAGUGCAAGCUAUCCCCAUACCUCUGUGUUCAUGUACCUCAACCAGAGACGACCUCUGCUGGUGACAGGACUUUCGCUGAUUAGAAGGAGAAGAAAGAGAACGUAGGAGGAUAUGUUCACCGAGAUAAUGAAUGCC
Mauremys reevesii (Reeves's turtle) is the source of this 552-nucleotide long non-coding RNA. RefSeq lists it as uncharacterized. The transcript has 3 exons. The record is from RefSeq and is a predicted model, not a curated record. Lineage: Eukaryota; Metazoa; Chordata; Testudines; Geoemydidae.